RNAcentral lists this ribosomal RNA (407 nucleotides) under uncultured bacterium. RNAcentral's name for it is "partial 16S ribosomal RNA". It matches the Rfam family "Bacterial small subunit ribosomal RNA", at positions 30 to 526 of the family's 1533-position model. The record is from RNAcentral.
AUUGAACGCUGGCGGCAGGCCUAACACAUGCAAGUCGAGCGGAGCGGCGGACGGGUGAGUAAUGCCUAGGAAUCUGCCUGGUAGUGGGGGAUAACGUCCGGAAACGGGCGCUAAUACCGCAUACUAUCAGAUGAGCCUAGGUCGGAUUAGCUAGUUGGUGGGGUAAAGGCCUACCAAGGCGACGAUCCGUAACUGGUCUGAGAGGAUGAUCAGUCACACUGGAACUGAGACACGGGCCAGACUCCUAGGGUAGGCAGCAGUGGGGAAUUGUGCACGGUGGGCGAAAGCCGGAUACAACCAUGCCUCCUGUGUGAAGAAGGUCUUCGGGGUGUAAAGCACUUUAAGUAGCGAGGCGGUACCUACAGAAUAAGCACCGGCUAACUUCGUGCCAGCAGCCGCGGUAAAUC